Rattus norvegicus (Norway rat) is the source of this 997-nucleotide non-coding RNA. The record is from RefSeq and is a predicted model, not a curated record. Lineage: Eukaryota; Metazoa; Chordata; Mammalia; Rodentia; Muridae.
UCAUUCACACAUGGAUACACUGAACACACAGAUGUACAUUCAUUUGAGUUAGACAUCCUUGUCAAUGUGGCCACUGGAUUCAGUGCUGGCCCUGAUACUCUUGAGAUUCCAAGGAGAUCUUCACCCCUUUCCUGGUUCCUCAAGUGAGGUUAUAGGAUUGGCUCUGGAAACAAGAGUUGCUAGUACCAUUUCAACACAGCAGAUAUAGAUGAAUUUGGUACUUAGCCCUGAUGCUGAGAGAGUGUGGAGGGGAACUAGACACACCCAGGAAGAGUUAAAGAUACCUAGGUCCCCUAGGACCUGAAAGAAGCUGGACUUUUCUUCCUGAGCUGGAGGGAUAUGGAGAACACAUGGGAGUGGUCAGGGUCUCAGCUGCAGCAGAGACAACAAGCUGAACAGGAGUCCAGGGCCCAGUAGUGGGACACUGGCACAAAGUCAUGCCUGUGACGUAGCCAAGAGACAGUAACUACUGAAACACAAGAUAGAGUUCUAAAGGUUACACAGACUUUCACGACUGGGUUUCAGAGGGCAAUGAGAAUGGACUUGCACCAUGUCCAGAAGGGCUGCCAGCAGCACAAGCAAGAAGAUCCUCAUGCUGGAAGUGGCAGACAUCAGCUGAAGGUUCCCCAGACAAAGAAGCCUGCUCUGGGUGAAACGGCCCUGAAGAUAAUGCUGAAACCUUAGGUCCUGGAGAUCACCAACAGGCUGGAGCAUAAAUGAUGUAUUUUGAAGAUAAUUCUACUAGAGCAGCAAUGGUGGAAAAAUGAGUUGGUUUAUAUAGGGGAUUACAUUGAUGAAUUUCCGUAUAUUGAACGAUCCCUGCAUUCCUGGAAUGAAGCCUACUUAAGUAUGGUGAAUGAUUAUUCUUAUUUGUUCUUGGAAUCAGUUUGCAAGAAUUUUAUUGAGCAUUUUUGCAUCAGAAUUCAUGAGAAAAAUUGGUCUGAAGUUCUCUUUCUUUAUUGGGUCUUCGUGUGGUUUAUGUAUUAGUGUAACUGAC